RNAcentral lists this ribosomal RNA (175 nucleotides) under uncultured soil bacterium. RNAcentral describes it as "partial 16S ribosomal RNA". It matches the Rfam family "Bacterial small subunit ribosomal RNA", at positions 26 to 197 of the family's 1533-position model. The record is from RNAcentral.
AGGAUGAACGCUAGCGGCAGGCCUAAUACAUGCAAGCUGAACGGUAAAUAUUGUAGCAAUACGAUAUGAGAGUAGCGUAAGGGUGCGUAACACGUAUGCAAUCUGCCCUGUACAGGAGAUAGCUCGGCGAAAGCCGGAUUAAUGCUCCGUAAUAUUAUUGGAUGGCAUCAUUUGA